Molecule: non-coding RNA, 30 nt
Filed under: Rattus norvegicus (Norway rat)
Lineage: Eukaryota; Metazoa; Chordata; Mammalia; Rodentia; Muridae
Source: RNAcentral
UGGGGACUCCUGGACUUUCAGAAAGUGACU